CAAAAAAAAACUUUUUCUUUCAGCAAGCAAAAUAGUUUUCAAAGCCCCUUUCCCAGAACCUCUUUCCCCGAUUCUCACUCAAAACUAGGAUUCUCUCACAGCCCCUUUCAAUCGGCCGGUUUGAAGUAAGGGUUUACAAAUCGUAAGGUCAGUGAGACUCUCCUAAAGAAAUUCGUUUUUGUAGUGAUGCAUAAGAAAUAACCUGUGUAAAGAGGAGUUAUGAUUUGAAUGAUGCUAGAGUUCUUUAACCAGUUAUUGGUGGAAAAGCCUUUUCUCCCAUUUGCAAUUCCUUUGGUUUUAGUUUUUUGGUCAAUAGAGAAAUGGGUCUUUUCUCUCGGCAAUUGGGUUCCUCUUGCAGUGGCUGUUUGGGCUACUAUUCAGGUUACUUCUUGUGAUUUCUACCCUUUUCAAUUACUUGUGACCCUUUGAUUUGCAGAAUUUGGAGUUUAUUGUAAAUUAUUUACCUUUUUUUGGUUUUUUAUUUAGUUUACUUUGAUGUAAUGUUUUGUAUGAAAGUCAAUAUUACUGCUUCCAAGUUGUUUUAGUAGUUCUAAGUCUAAAUUGUACUGAUUUGAAGGAAAAAAUAUCAGUUGUAUAAAAGAAAAUUUUUUGUGCUGUAGAUUCUGUCUAAUAAAGGAGUUAUAGUACUGCCAGAUAUAUAUGCAAAUGCUAGAGGUGUGACUGUCAGCUCUUUUGAGUAGGUUCGGUAACAUAUAUCACAAAAGCAACUGAUAGUUCUUUGUUUAUUUUUCUCAAUGAAAUCAUUUCAAUAGUUAUUAGUUAUAUUUUGACUCCUGAGAUCUUCUAAUGUGAUUCUUGGUCAUUAGAAACCGUUUCUUCCUUAAAAUUGGAUUGUGAACAAAUUGUGUAGAUACUCCUUUGUCCACACUUGGAAAAAGGUCAGAACAUAGGAAAUUAAGUAAAUGUGAUUUUUUCCUUUCCAAGUUAUGAAUGUUUGAUUUACUUGAGUUUUUGGGUAAAUAAAAAUUGAUCUUACUUGAAGGCGGUUUCAGGUUGCAACGACUUUGUUUUUUUGAAGGCGGUUCAGAGCUAUUGAUGUUCUUAACUUGUCUGUUUGAGAACUAGAUUACAAUAACCAUAAGUCUUUCUUAAGCUUUGAGUUUGUAAAUUUAACCCUAUCCUUUCGAGUUUCAAGAACAAUAAAAUUAUUUUAUACGGUUGUUAAUUGUCUAUUGAAAUUUGUUUGUACUGAUAUUGCAGUCAUAUAAGUUUUAGAGAUUUUUUUAUAUCUAACAAGAUGACGUAAUGGUAUGUAUUUAUUUAUUGUAAUUUUUGUAUAUUUAUUCCUUUUACACAAGUGAAUAAAUUUAUUGCGUCCCAAAAUAUGUAGCAAUGUGGUAACUUCAUCAAGUGUUGCAUAAUCAAGGGAGGUUGCAAAUGGACAGGCCCGAGCGUUUAAAUGUAACAACUCAUCCAACGAAUACUAACGACUCCAAUGAAUUAACGAUGGUGAAAAUUGAAAUGCGUCAAUGCAACUAACUCAACGAUUUGUCAUAAUUGUUAAUGUUAUGUAUGUGGUGUUGUUAUUAAUGUUAUUAAAUCGGUUGUAAUUUUGAUAAUUUUUAUUAUCUAACCAACACGUUAUGUAUGAAAUUUGUGCAUUUAUGAGUACCUUAUGGACUUAUGGUGUAUGAGCAUUACUGAACAGCUUUACUGAUGUGAAUAUCUGCUUGCUGGAUUUAGUUUGACACUUUCUGAGGCUUAUUUUGUUGAGUAAUUAUGAAUAACAAAUGUGAAUAACAGCAUUUCAAUCAG
This 1776-nucleotide long non-coding RNA is filed under the name Panax ginseng (ginseng). Its description in RNAcentral is "long non-coding RNA (PGIN_LNC004054)". The record is from RNAcentral. Lineage: Eukaryota; Viridiplantae; Streptophyta; Magnoliopsida; Apiales; Araliaceae.